CAUGCAAGUCGAGCGGACCGACGGGAGCUUGCUCCCUUAGGUCAGCGGCGGACGGGUGAGUAACACGUGGGUAACCUGCCUGUAAGACUGGGAUAACUCCGGGAAACCGGGGCUAAUACCGGAUGCUUGAUUGAACCGCAUGGUUCCAAUCAUAAAAGGUGGCUUUUAGCUACCACUUACAGAUGGACCCGCGGCGCAUUAGCUAGUUGGUGAGGUAACGGCUCACCAAGGCGACGAUGCGUAGCCGACCUGAGAGGGUGAUCGGCCACACUGGGACUGAGACACGGCCCAGACUCCUACGGGAGGCAGCAGUAGGGAAUCUUCCGCAAUGGACGAAAGUCUGACGGAGCAACGCCGCGUGAGUGAUGAAGGUUUUCGGAUCGUAAAACUCUGUUGUUAGGGAAGAACAAGUACCGUUCGAAUAGGGCGGCACCUUGACGGUACCUAACCAGAAAGCCACGGCUAACUACGUGCCAGCAGCCGCGGUAAUACGUAGGUGGCAAGCGUUGUCCGGAAUUAUUGGGCGUAAAGCGCGCGCAGGCGGUUUCUUAAGUCUGAUGUGAAAGCCCCCGGCUCAACCGGGGAGGGUCAUUGGAAACUGGGGAACUUGAGUGCAGAAGAGGAGAGUGGAAUUCCACGUGUAGCGGUGAAAUGCGUAGAGAUGUGGAGGAACACCAGUGGCGAAGGCGACUCUCUGGUCUGUAACUGACGCUGAGGCGCGAAAGCGUGGGGAGCGAACAGGAUUAGAUACCCUGGUAGUCCACGCCGUAAACGAUGAGUGCUAAGUGUUAGAGGGUUUCCGCCCUUUAGUGCUGCAGCAAACGCAUUAAGCACUCCG
Molecule: ribosomal RNA, 838 nt
Filed under: Bacillus sp. Bsp2
Lineage: Bacteria; Bacillati; Bacillota; Bacilli; Caryophanales; Bacillaceae
Description: bacterial SSU rRNA
Rfam family: Bacterial small subunit ribosomal RNA
Source: RNAcentral